AUACGGGAGGCAGCAGUAGGGAAUUUUCGUCAAUGGGGGAAACCCUGAACGAGCGACGCCGCGUGAGGGACGAAGGCCUUCGGGUUGUAAACCUCUGUCUUCGGGGACGAUAAUGACGGUACCCGAGGAGGAAGCCACGGCUAACUACGUGCCAGCAGCCGCGGUAAGACGUAGGUGGCGAGCGUUGUCCGGAAUUACUGGGCGUAAAGGGCGUGUAGGCGGCCUUUCAAGUCAGGCGUGAAAUCCUUGGGCUUAACCUAGGGACUGCGUUUGAAACUGGAGGGCUUGAGGACAGGAGAGGAAAGCGGAAUUCCCAGUGUAGCGGUGAAAUGCGUAGAUAUUGGGAGGAACACCAGUGGCGAAGGCGGCUUUCUGGACUGUCCCUGACGCUGAGGCGCGAAAGCCAGGGGAGCGAACGGGAUUAGAUACCCCGGU
Molecule: ribosomal RNA, 435 nt
Filed under: uncultured bacterium
Lineage: Bacteria
Description: bacterial SSU rRNA
Rfam family: Bacterial small subunit ribosomal RNA
Source: RNAcentral